RNAcentral lists this transfer RNA (69 nucleotides) under Marmota monax (woodchuck). It matches the Rfam family "tRNA". Rfam says of the family: Transfer RNA (tRNA) molecules are approximately 80 nucleotides in length. Their secondary structure includes four short double-helical elements and three loops (D, anti-codon, and T loops). Lineage: Eukaryota; Metazoa; Chordata; Mammalia; Rodentia; Sciuridae. The record is from Rfam by way of RNAcentral.
GGGAUUGUAGCUCAGAGGGAGAGCGCUUGUCUUGCAUGCAUGAGGCACUGGGUUUGAUCCUCAGCCCCA